Passer domesticus (house sparrow) is the source of this 416-nucleotide long non-coding RNA. RefSeq lists it as uncharacterized. The record is from RefSeq and is a predicted model, not a curated record. The transcript is spliced from 3 exons. NCBI's taxonomy places the organism in Eukaryota, Metazoa, Chordata, Aves, Passeriformes, Passeridae.
GCUAGCUUGGUUCCUGGGGGGCUUUCUUCUUCUUUGCCCUCCCUCCAGAGCCAAGGAUCAAUCUGAGACCACAGUGACAUUACUGUACUGCAUCCCUUCCUGAGCCUGCACUGAGAUAUCACCCCUGCGUGGACCUGCCCAGUGUGCCACAGACUGAGAGUCCCUCUGAGCCAAAACCCUCCAAGUGCCCUGGAGACAUCAAACUGGGCACAGUCAUAGUUAAGUGACACUGUGUGGUCCAUGUUCAGCAGAGGAUCAGAUCAGAAAAUGCUAAAGAAUGCCCAAAUGAAAAUCCACUGAUGACUCCAAGAUGCCUAAAUGAAUAACAGCACUGACCAGGUGAAAAGCAGAUCCAUUGCAGCUGAGAGCUGGAGGGUGAUACUCCCUCAGAUGCAGGCGGACCUAUACCUAUUUUU